RNAcentral lists this ribosomal RNA (451 nucleotides) under uncultured bacterium. Its description in RNAcentral is "bacterial SSU rRNA". It matches the Rfam family "Bacterial small subunit ribosomal RNA", at positions 29 to 524 of the family's 1533-position model. The record is from RNAcentral.
AACGAACGCUGGCGGCAUGCCUAACACAUGCAAGUCGAACGAGACCUUCGGGUCUAGUGGCGCACGGGUGCGUAACGCGUGGGAAUCUGCCCUUGGGUUCGGAAUAACAGUUAGAAAUGACUGCUAAUACCGGAUAAUGUCUUCGGACCAAAGAUUUAUCGCCCAGGGAUGAGCCCGCGUAGGAUUAGCUAGUUGGUGAGGUAAAGGCUCACCAAGGCGACGAUCCUUAGCUGGUCUGAGAGGAUGAUCAGCCACACUGGGACUGAGACACGGCCCAGACUCCUACGGGAGGCAGCAGUGGGGAAUCUUGCGCAAUGGGCGAAAGCCUGACGCAGCCAUGCCGCGUGAAUGAUGAAGGUCUUAGGAUUGUAAAAAUUCUUUCACCGGGGACGAUAAUGACGGUACCCGGAGAAGAAGCCCCGGCUAACUUCGUGCCAGCAGCCGCGGUAAU